Molecule: long non-coding RNA, 555 nt
Organism: Orbicella faveolata
Lineage: Eukaryota; Metazoa; Cnidaria; Anthozoa; Scleractinia; Merulinidae
Source: RefSeq, a predicted model, not a curated record
AAGAGAUUUUAGUAUAAAUACAUUAAUUGUUCCAGAGUUAAAGCAUUUGUUUGUAGCCUUCCAUCUCUCUUCGACAGUCCACUAACUGUGUGAAUUCGACAGAGCGUGCUUUUGUAAACUCUGAAGAGCUUGACAAAAAACAAUGGCUGGAAAACUGCUGAUUCUUUGCUUUGUGUUGGCGAUGGUCACUAUUGCAACAUGCAAACCUCGAAAUCCUUUUGCGGGACUUUUCCGAAGAGACUAUAUGAUGAUGCUCGAAAAUGAGAAACGCGCGCCUGGUGUCUGUCAGGAGAUGAGCUGGUGUUCUACCCUCGCUAACUGUUAUGGGAGUGACGCGGGAGGAAGCUAUGUGCAAACACCUGGAAACUGCGGACCAAGCACAGUCUGCUGCACCUACUUUGAAAUGUGAUACCUACACAGAUAGGAGAUAUCCCCGAGAGGCCCUACCUGAGGAACCGGUAUUCACAGAAAAAUGUAACGUGUAGUGGUGGAAAGUGUCGAUCUUUUUAAUGUAGUUCUACCCUUAACCACGCAAUAAAGAACGGAAUAAAAUUG